Molecule: transfer RNA, 76 nt
Filed under: Aliarcobacter cryaerophilus
Lineage: Bacteria; Pseudomonadati; Campylobacterota; Epsilonproteobacteria; Campylobacterales; Arcobacteraceae
Also listed under: 2 other names
Description: Arcobacter cryaerophilus tRNA-Lys
Rfam family: tRNA
About the family: Transfer RNA (tRNA) molecules are approximately 80 nucleotides in length. Their secondary structure includes four short double-helical elements and three loops (D, anti-codon, and T loops). Further hydrogen bonds mediate the characteristic L-shaped molecular structure. tRNAs have two regions of fundamental functional importance: the anti-codon, which is responsible for specific mRNA codon recognition, and the 3' end, to which the tRNAs corresponding amino acid is attached (by aminoacyl-tRNA synthetases). tRNAs cope with the degeneracy of the genetic code in two manners: having more than one tRNA (with a specific anti-codon) for a particular amino acid; and 'wobble' base-pairing, i.e. permitting non-standard base-pairing at the 3rd anti-codon position.
Source: RNAcentral
GACUCGUUAGCUCAGUUGGUAGAGCAUCUCACUUUUAAUGAGGAGGCCGAUGGUUCGAAUCCAUCACGGGUCACCA